RNAcentral lists this ribosomal RNA (494 nucleotides) under uncultured bacterium. RNAcentral's name for it is "partial 16S ribosomal RNA". It matches the Rfam family "Bacterial small subunit ribosomal RNA", at positions 29 to 507 of the family's 1533-position model. The record is from RNAcentral.
ACGAACGCUGGCGGCGUGCCUAAUACAUGCAAGUAGCACGCUGAAGGAGGAGCUUGCUUCUCUGGAUGAGUUGCGAACGGGUGAGUAACGCGUAGGUAACCUGCCUGGUAGCGGGGGAUAACUAUUGGAAACGAUAGCUAAUACCGCAUAAGAGUAGAUGUUGCAUGACAUUUGCUUAAAAGGUGCAAUUGCAUCACUACCAGAUGGACCUGCGUUGUAUUAGCUAGUUGGUGGGGUAACGGCUCACCAAGGCGACGAUACAUAGCCGACCUGAGAGGGUGAUCGGCCACACUGGGACUGAGACACGGCCCAGACUCCUACGGGAGGCAGCAGUAGGGAAUCUUCGGCAAUGGACGGAAGUCUGACCGAGCAACGCCGCGUGAGUGAAGAAGGUUUUCGGAUCGUAAAGCUCUGUUGUAAGAGAAGAACGAGUGUGAGAGUGGAAAGUUCACACUGUGACGGUAUCUUACCAGAAAGGGACGGCUAACUACGUG